GAUGAACGCUGGCGGCGUGCCUAAUACAUGCAAGUCGAGCGAACAGACGAGGAGCUUGCUCCUCUGACGUUAGCGGCGGACGGGUGAGUAACACGUGGAUAACCUACCUAUAAGACUGGGAUAACUUCGGGAAACCGGAGCUAAUACCGGAUAAUAUAUUGAACCGCAUGGUUCAAUAGUGAAAGACGGUUUUGCUGUCACUUAUAGAUGGAUCCGCGCCGCAUUAGCUAGUUGGUAGGGUAACGGCUUACCAAGGCAACGAUGCGUAGCCGACCUGAGAGGGUGAUAGGCCACACGGGAACUGAGACACGGUCCAGACGCCUACGGGAGGCAGCAGUAGGGAAUCUUCCGCAAUGGGCGAAAGCCUGACGGAGCAACGCCGCGUGAGUGAUGAAGGUCUUCGGAUCGUAAAACUCUGUUAUUAGGGAAGAACAAAUGUGUAAGUAACUAUGCACGUCUUGACGGUACCUAAUCAGAAAGCCACGGCUAACUACGUG
Molecule: ribosomal RNA, 497 nt
Filed under: uncultured bacterium
Lineage: Bacteria
Description: partial 16S ribosomal RNA
Rfam family: Bacterial small subunit ribosomal RNA
Source: RNAcentral